RNA transcript from Cucurbita maxima (winter squash), 1680 nucleotides. It is a transcript of the gene named zinc finger with UFM1-specific peptidase domain protein, with no coding region annotated. The transcript is spliced from 7 exons. Lineage: Eukaryota; Viridiplantae; Streptophyta; Magnoliopsida; Cucurbitales; Cucurbitaceae. The record is from RefSeq and is a predicted model, not a curated record.
UCGAGUUUCCCAAUUUUAGAAAUACAAUCUGGCUGUCGCUCAAAAGUAAUAUGGUAUUUCUCGAGCAAGCAGGCCAUUAGAUUGUGAUUGUGUUCCUGAGAUUCAAUGGAUUCAUCAUCCAGUUGCCCUUUCUGCGACCAAGUUGUUCCAUCAAAAGAACUUCAGAGGCAUGCUAAUGGUCACUUUGAAGAUGAAGAUAAUGACGAUAAACAACGCCAACUUGCUAGGGACUUUGAGUUGGCCCAGAAAAUGGCUUUUUCCUCUACUCCUUACGACAAUGUUAAUCAAGAAACCAUUAAACUUGAGGGAUCUUUGGAUAGCAGCAAGUUAAGUUGUGAGAGGGGGGCUUUGGUGAAGGAAAAGUUGAAUGUUAAUGAAAAGAUCUCUUCCCUGAUUGGUUUACAGAAUAGGAGUGGUUUUUAUAAGGUGGAAGGUGGUCUGAUGUCUUUAUUAAGAAAUUGCUUAGAAUUAGAAUCUAGUGACUCGACUAGUAUUGUGUCAGGGUAUGUUGAUCAUUAUCAGAGUAUUGAAUUUGAGGAUCUUGGGUGGGGCUGUGGAUGGCGGAACAUUCAAAUGCUUUGCUCUCAUUUGAUAAUGCAAAGACCAGAAGCUAGAAAGGUUUUAUUUGGUGGAUCAGGAGUUGUUCCUGAUAUUCUAUCACUUCAGAGAUGGCUUGAGAUUGCUUGGAAAAAAGGAUUUGAUGUACAUGGUGCAGAGCAUUUUAAUUACAAAAUUUAUGGCAGAAAAAAUUGGAUUGGAGCCACGGAAUGUGCUGCCCUUUUGCGUUCCUUUGGGCUCCAGGCAAGGAUAGUUGAUUUUGGUCCUAAAGAGUGCGAGGAACUUUAUCUCUCAGUCCCUGGUUCAAGUAGUGGGGCACAAAUGGUAAACUUAAUUGAUGCAAAUAAGAGAAAAACAGCUAAGGUUAAUGGGCCCAUGGAUAGGUUUCUUGUAAGUAGAAAUGACGGUGUUCCACAAACUGGUUCUAGUGGGCAUGAGAAGUCCAAAUAUUCUCGAAGUGUCUUGGAAAAUAAGUCCACUCAGAAAGCGAAAGGUCAUCAGGUUCUGGUUGAUUGGGUAUGGAAUUACUUCUCUGAUGGAAGGAUAUGCACGUAUAGUCACCAGCACGUUAAUGUUAGUGGAAAAACGCCAUUGUUCUUUCAGCAUGAUGGACAUUCUAGGACCAUUGUGGGCAUUCAAGUCAAACAGCAGCGUAAUGGAAUGCAGCAAUACAAUCUCCUGAUUUUGGACCCAGCUCAUAGUACUAAAGGCAUUGAAAAGUCCCUUAGAGAGAAUAAUGGAUGGCAGAAACUAAUAAAAAGAGGAACUCAUACGCUGAAUAAGCCACAAUACCAGUUGUGUUAUAUUGAUUCUGGAAUUGCUGCUGGGGCUGACUUGGAAUUGCUGAAGAAAAUUGAUAGCCUCUUUCUGGAGCUUUAGAUGAACAUAUUGUACCUUUUUUGUUCUCUGACACACAGGUCAUUGACGUAUAUUUAAUCUAAAAAGCUUUCAUUUGAGCUGUCAACAGGGAGGUAUGUGAACCUAUCUCCGCAAUCUCACCUCUAUCCAUGACUACAAUAACGUCUGAGUUUAUCACUGUAGAGAGCUGAUGGGCAACUAUAAUCUGAGUAGUUCUGAGUCCAUUGUUCCCGUUUGUUGACUCUAAAGCACUAACUAAAGUUC